UACGGGGGGUGCGAGCGUUGUCCGGAUUUACUGGGCGUAAAGAGCGCGCAGGCGGCUGGUCAAGUCCGAUGUGAAAUCUCCCGGCUCAACUGGGAAACUGCAUCGGAAACUGAUCGGCUUGAAGAUGGGAGAGGGUAGUGGAAUUCCCGGUGUAGUGGUGAAAUGCGUAGAUAUCGGGAGGAACACCAGUGGCGAAGGCGACUACCUGGCCCAUUCUUGACGCUGAGGCGCGAAAGCUAGGGGAGCGAACGGG
This 253-nucleotide ribosomal RNA is filed under the name uncultured bacterium. Its description in RNAcentral is "partial 16S ribosomal RNA". It matches the Rfam family "Bacterial small subunit ribosomal RNA", at positions 524 to 776 of the family's 1533-position model. The record is from RNAcentral.